UAGUAGAGGAUAGCCCGGCGAAAGUCGGAUUAAUACUCUAGUGUUUUCCAAUGCAGACAUCUAAAAUGGAACAAAAGGUUUACCGCUAUAGGAUGGGGGAUGCGUCUGAUUAGAGUAGUAGGCGGGGUAACGGCCCACCUAGUCGACGAUCAGUAGGGGUUCUGAGAGGAAGGUCCCCCACAUUGGAACUGAGACACGGUCCAAACUCCUACGGGAGGCAGCAGUGAGGAAUAUUGGUCAAUGGGCGAGAGCCUGAACCAGCCAAGUAGGCCGUGCAGGAUGACGGCCCUAUGGGUUGUAAACUGCUUUUAUAUAGGGAUAAAGUGACCCACGUGUGGGUUUUUGUAGGUACUAUAUGAAUAAGGACCGGCUAAUUCCGUGCCAGCCGCAGC
RNAcentral lists this ribosomal RNA (392 nucleotides) under uncultured bacterium. RNAcentral describes it as "bacterial SSU rRNA". It matches the Rfam family "Bacterial small subunit ribosomal RNA", at positions 134 to 518 of the family's 1533-position model. The record is from RNAcentral.